AUCAAUCAAGCAUUGAAUCAACUCCGAAUGCAACAAAACUUUCUAAUUGUCCUAGGCAUACCAAAAUGGCAUCAAGAAACUCCCAAAAACUAAUUUUCUUGACUCGAUCAUCACAAGAAAAUAAGAAAAAAAAAAUACAAAAAAUGCAACAAACAUGCAAUCAAACAAGUUUUAUUCAUCAUUCCUACUCCUAAACUAUGUAUACCAUUGUGAGACAUUCAAUGGGGC
This 228-nucleotide long non-coding RNA is filed under the name Linum usitatissimum (flax). RNAcentral's name for it is "long non-coding RNA (LUSI_LNC006215)". The record is from RNAcentral. Lineage: Eukaryota; Viridiplantae; Streptophyta; Magnoliopsida; Malpighiales; Linaceae.